This 418-nucleotide ribosomal RNA is filed under the name uncultured bacterium. RNAcentral describes it as "bacterial SSU rRNA". It matches the Rfam family "Bacterial small subunit ribosomal RNA", at positions 917 to 1338 of the family's 1533-position model. The record is from RNAcentral.
GGGCCCGCACAAGCGGAGGAACAUGUGGUUUAAUUCGAUGAUACGCGAGGAACCUUACCUGGGCUUAAAUGUAAGAUGACAGGCUGAGAAAUCAGUCCUUCUUCGGACAUUUUACAAGGUGCUGCAUGGCUGUCGUCAGCUCGUGCCGUGAGGUGUCGGGUUAAGUCCCAUAACGAGCGCAACCCCUAUCUCUAGUUGCCAGCGGAUAAUGCCGGGGACUCUAGAGAAACUGCCUACGCAAGUAGUGAGGAAGGCGGGGAUGACGUCAAGUCAGCACGGCCCUUACGUCCAGGGCUACACACGUGUUACAAUGGCCGGUACAGAGGGCAGCUACCUGGUGACAGGAUGCAAAUCUCUAAAGCCGGUCUCAGUUCGGAUCGAAGUCUGCAACUCGACUUCGUGAAGUUGGAUUCGCUAG